UGCUAUUCUUGCUGCUACUACUACUAAUUCUAUCACUAGUACUAUUAAUGAUUUUAAUUUUGUUAACAGAAUAGUUGACAAGAUCACAAGGAGCAAGAAACUGAGGAGAUCGAGUAAUAAGGAAUCAAUGGAAAUAAAUGACGGCCCUGUUUUCCUUCCUUGUGAAGAGUGUGGCAGCUUCUCUGAGUCAUGACAUACACCCACAAAGGCUAAUCAACAGGUGAGUACAGAAAAUAUUUAUCACUCAUUACAAUUAGCUGGAAAAGUGGGACUUUUCCAUCUGGGAACAAAGCAUCUUCGUUUUCACUUUGCACUUACUGAAUCCCUCCACGUCCACAUUUUUUUAUAAAAUGUAAUAACUGC
Molecule: long non-coding RNA, 363 nt
Filed under: Ornithorhynchus anatinus (platypus)
Lineage: Eukaryota; Metazoa; Chordata; Mammalia; Monotremata; Ornithorhynchidae
Description: lncRNA (ENSOANG00000050859.1)
Source: RNAcentral